AAACGCAGCGGAGUGGUUGUGACGGUGAGUGAUGAUUUUGAGCUUAAGGGAUUCGCGGUGUGUUUGAGGUGUGCGAGGAGAAAAAAAGCUGAUGGGGGAGCGGCGAAGAAGAGGAACAAUGCCUCCUCCUUUUUUCCUUUUUUUUUUCUGUCGGUUAUAGUAGAGAGAAAGAGUUAGUGUUUAGGAAGGGUGAGAGGUAACGUGAGGAAGAGAAUUUUCUUCUUUUUCACUGCUGAGCCCGAGAUAAAGUGGAGACAGAGCAUUUGACUGGGUGGCGUGUGUUGAGAGAGAUGGAGGUAGCGUGAAGGUGAGAGAUACGCAAGCUGGAUACCAGUCGUCAAAAAAGAGAAUCCAAUGUAAAUUUUAUUUUAUUUUUGUUGAAAACAAUUACUAUUAUAAAAAAAAUCCUAUUAAAAAUUUCUAAUAACUAUUUU
RNAcentral lists this long non-coding RNA (434 nucleotides) under Lathyrus oleraceus (garden pea). RNAcentral describes it as "Pisum sativum (pea) long non-coding RNA (PSAT_LNC017136)". Lineage: Eukaryota; Viridiplantae; Streptophyta; Magnoliopsida; Fabales; Fabaceae. The record is from RNAcentral.